RNAcentral lists this ribosomal RNA (447 nucleotides) under uncultured bacterium. Its description in RNAcentral is "partial 16S ribosomal RNA". It matches the Rfam family "Bacterial small subunit ribosomal RNA", at positions 329 to 793 of the family's 1533-position model. The record is from RNAcentral.
GCCCAGACUCCUACGGGAGGCAGCAGUGGGGAAUAUUGCACAAUGGGGGAAACCCUGAUGCAGCGACGCCGCGUGAAGGAUGAAGUAUUUCGGUAUGUAAACUUCUAUCAGCAGGGAAGAAAAUGACGGUACCUGACUAAGAAGCCCCGGCUAACUACGUGCCAGCAGCCGCGGUAAUACGUAGGGGGCAAGCGUUAUCCGGAUUUACUGGGUGUAAAGGGGGCGCAGACGGCAGCGCAAGCCAGGAGUGAAAGCCCGGGGCCCAACCCCGGGACUGCUCUUGGAACUGCGCGGCUGGAGUGCAGGAGGGGCAGGCGGAAUUCCUGGUGUAGCGGUGAAAUGCGUAGAUAUCAGGAGGAACACCGGUGGCGAAGGCGGCCUGCUGGACUGCGACUGACGUUGAGGCCCGAAAGCGUGGGGAGCAAACAGGAUUAGAUACCCGCGUAC